GAUGGCAACUUUGGGAAUGGCUCUCGCAUAUGUUCCUUGGAACAGGACGUCAUAGAGGGUGAGAACCCCGUUCAUGGCGAGAUGACCCAGUCCUAUGUAAAGUGCUUUCUAAGAGUCGAGUUGUUUGGGAAUGCAGCUCUAAGUGGGUGGUAAAUUCCAUCUAAGGCUAAAUAUUGGCGAGAGACCGAUAGCGAACAAGUACAGUGAUGGAAAGAUGAAAAGAACUUUGAAAAGAGAGUGAAAAAGUACGUGAAAUUGUUGAAAGGGAAGGGCUUGAAGUCAGACAUGGUAUUCAGUGAUCAACUGUCUUUCGGGACUGUGCACUCGCUGUUUACUGGGCCAGCAUCGGUUUAGGCGGUGAGAUAAAUGCAAGAGAAUGUGGCUCCGCUUUCGGGUGGAGUGUUAUAGCUUUUGUUCAUAUCACCAGCUUGGACCGAGGACCGCGCUUCGGCUAGGAUGCUGGCGUAAUGAC
This 472-nucleotide ribosomal RNA is filed under the name [Candida] sp. NCIM 3548. Its description in RNAcentral is "eukaryotic LSU rRNA". It matches the Rfam family "Eukaryotic large subunit ribosomal RNA", at positions 151 to 638 of the family's 3401-position model. The record is from RNAcentral. Lineage: Eukaryota; Fungi; Ascomycota; Dipodascomycetes; Dipodascales; Trichomonascaceae.